GACGAACGCUGGCGGCGUGCUUAACACAUGCAAGUCGAACGGAAAGGCCGGGCUCUUGCGCGCUCCUCGAGUGGCGAGCGCGGGUGUGACACGCGUGUAACCUGCCCCUCGCAUUCUGGUAUCUUCAGGGGACACGGGCUCUUACCCCGUAGGCGCUGCUGCUGCGCGUUGUCGCUGCGUGAAUUUCGGCGGUUGGGGAUGUACUCGCGGCUUAUCAGCUUGUUGGUGGGGUAGUGGCUUACCAAGGCUCUGACGGGUAGCCGGCCUGAGAGGGUGACCGGCCACACUGGGACUGAGACACGGCCCAGACUCCUACGGGAGGCAGCAGUGGGGAAUAUUGCACAAUGGGCGGAAGCCUGAUGCAGCAACGCCGCGUGCGGGAUGACGGCCUUCGGGUUGUAAACCGCUUUUGCCUGUGACGAAGCGAGAGUGACGGUACCGGGUAAAGAAGCACCGGCUAACUACGUG
RNAcentral lists this ribosomal RNA (468 nucleotides) under uncultured bacterium. RNAcentral's name for it is "partial 16S ribosomal RNA". It matches the Rfam family "Bacterial small subunit ribosomal RNA", at positions 28 to 507 of the family's 1533-position model. The record is from RNAcentral.